UCGCUUUUCUUUACGUUAUUAUUGGCUUUAAACUUUCCAACUCAGGUAGAUGCUCACACUAGACUUCUCUAAUUAUUAUAUUCUUUAAGUUGGAGGUAGUUGAUAUAUUUUCUUUGUUUGUCGUAUACUUGAAUAGUGCAAAAAUAUCAAAUUGUAUUUUAUGUUAGCACCUGACACUUGAGCUCUUUACAGGUACUGUUAUUGUGCACACAAUCGGUCAUGAGGUAUUAAUAAAGUACAAGAUUCAUCUCUUUAUUAUUAUGAUAAUUUAACUUUCUAUUUUCGGUUGUUAUUUACCUGUAACUUAUUUUUUAGAUAAAAUUAUAAAAAAAUCAUAUAGUAUAUAUUUUAAUAUUAUUUAUCCUUCAAGUCCUCUAAGUUAUAUAUUAAGAGUGAAAAGUCUGUGAGAAUAGAAAUUUUAGGUACAAAUAUACAUUCAGCAAAUAAGAGUAGAGAAUUAAGCACGAUGUUUUAGCUUUACCUGAAAUAUGAAUUAGUUAGAUUGGGAGGUUAUAACAAAGAAAACUAACCACUCUAUAAAUGUGACCUACAUCUAUUGAUAACAUUAAAAUAAUAAGUGCGAGAAGUUUCUCUAGUGAAAUACUAUUUCAAGUUCAAAACAGGAACACGAAUUGAAAUUUCACAAAAACACACCUAAAAACCAAAGUAAACAAGGAGAAAUUGUACUAAAUUUUCAAAAAACGGCUAUUAAAGAAACAAGUUAACCCCCUAUAUUUUCUGUAAAACAUGUGUACUUUUUAGAUUUUUUGAUAGACAUAGAACUACAAAACCAAACAAUCAAACUAUUAAUUGUGAAAAACACUAGCCAACACGAGAAAACACGACUAGAAAUCAAACAAACAAACAAACAAUUAAAAAUCAAAUCUAGCUUUGAAAGAGGCUAGUGAAACCACAAAUCAAAACUCCAAACAUGAAAAUGGAUCGAAACUCAAGCUGAAAGACAACCAGAAAUCUAGAUAGACAAAAAAAAACGAGAGCAAACAAACAACUGAGCCUGAAAUAUCUUUCACGCUAAGACAUGUCAAUGUUUUUCUUUUAACUUCUUGGAACAAACAUGAUUACAAACAAAAUACUAAAGUUAAACCAAAGAAACACAAAUAUAUGUCCAACGUACGAACCAAAUUAAAAUCAAACCACAACAGAGCACAACUACAAAUCAAACAAGCAAACAAACAAAAAUCACAUCCAACUUUCAAAAAAGCUAGCAAAAACACAAAUCAAAAUUCGAAACACGAACAUGGAUCGAAACUCAAACUGAAACACAACCACAAAUUGAGAUAAAGAAAGAAAAACCACAUCCAACUUUGAAAAACAACUAACAAACAAACAAUUGAAUAUCAAAUAUCUUUCAUAAUAACACAUGCUAAUACUUCGUCUAACUUUUUGAAAUAAACACGAUUACAAAUAAAACACCAAAGUUAAACUGAACAAACACAAAUGUGUGCUCAACAAACCGAUCAAAUUAAAAUUAGACCACAAUAAAGUACAGUUACAAAUCAAACAAACAUACAAAAGUGAAACAUAUGACUUUACAAAAUGAUUAGCAAACACAAACAAAACUCGAAUAUCUAACGAAAUCAAAUGGUCGACAAUAUGAGCUUUUUGUAAGAAACACAACUAAACAAACUUGACAAACAAAAGUCCAUUCAGUUGUGAAGAAUCCUGACAAGCAAAGGCCUAAGCCUUUAACACCUUACAUAAGUAAGUAGUGAUCAAUAUUUUUGGGUUUUGGAAAGAAACACAGCUACAAAAGCUGAAAUUUUUAACUUCUUGAUAAGGCAAGACAUCUUAUAUUACGAUAUAGGGACUUAAUUGAGUAGGACUUUGAAAUGUCAUACUUUUAUAGAUAGUUAACUAACUCAUGCAACUCUCACUCCUAGUGGUAAGAUACUGAAACUGUCAUUUUUGGUCUUAUUUUUUGUAGUUUUUGUGUUCUUAUUUCUCAGUUUGGUGUUCAAUAUUUUUAUGUCAUCUAUUGAUUAUAUUUAUUGACAAAUGUUGGCUGAUAUCUAAUUCCCUAUUGUAAAUUAUACAAUUAUUAUUUGACUUUUUAUUGCUGAAAAUUGUUAUAUCAUGAGUUGGUAUUCAAGCGGUCAACUUAAGGAGGAUUUGUGGUUGUCAAUCGAAAUACGGGUGCGUCUCAAUCUUAUCUCACAGUCAACUAAAAUUACAGAGCAUUAUAGAUAUGAGUUCGAUGUUGUUGUUUAUACUACUACCAUUUCAGCUGCUAGUAGAUAUAUACUUACUUUUAUUACGUUAAUUAUUGACUUCUUUAAAAAUAUUAUAGAAUAUUUUAUGUACAUAAUAGUAUGAUUAUUUUCCCAAUAUAUUAGUAUGAUUAGGAAGAAAGUUAAUAAGAUAAUUUAAUUGGUUACCUUCAUGAUCAUUUUACAUGUAUGUAUAUCCCUAUUCUCUAAUCAUUAAUAUAGAGUAUUAUUCAGUAUUGUUAUCUUUCUCUAACUCUUAACAUGGUAUCAGAGUUAAGGUUAGGGUUAGGAUUUAGUUGUCAGAAUACAUCAGACUAAGAAAGGGUUGAACAACCAUUCCCGGUGCCAGAGGAAGUCGACCACCGAUCUUCGGCGUGUUCAAAGUGCAGCCAGUACGGUGGUGUAUGCAGAAUGAGAGAAGGAGGUCAUUUGCAUGGCUGUUUCAAGUCAGAAUCGGGUUUGUCGACCAUUUAUGCGGGUGCUGGAAAUCCUAGCAUCGUGCCUAUCCCAUGCGAAGUCAGAAGGUGAAGGGAAGCUCAGUCGGUCUGUUCUGAGCACGAAACCAAAAGGUCAGGGCGGAGAAAACUCGAGAUUCAGUAGAUCGCGCGACAACAAGCUUUUCCGAUUCUCUAGCGCGAUUUGCUGCAAUGUUGGGAGCUACAUUCCGGAUUUGGAUGUGUAUCCUGGUUCUGUGGUGAUUUCCGACCAAAAGGAGAUUGUUUGGCAUUUCUCGACAACGGUGGCACAGAAACUCCAAUGAUUGGCAGUGAACUUCUAGUAAGGUUGUUGAUAACCGUGCGUGAAGAGACACUUUGUCUUCUGAAAUUUUCUAGUAUAUUUGCAGUGUUUUUGGUGUAUCUCUAUUUGCUGUAUUUGGAUAUUUUAGGUGAUAUUUUUUGAUUUAUGGAUUAAAAUGAGUGAUAAUAUUGUUUGUUAUUACUGCUGUGAGUGAGAACAUAUAAAGUAGUAUUAUAAGAAAUUGCAGAAUUGCAAUUGGAUUGCACAAACCAC
Molecule: long non-coding RNA, 3239 nt
Filed under: Carica papaya (papaya)
Lineage: Eukaryota; Viridiplantae; Streptophyta; Magnoliopsida; Brassicales; Caricaceae
Description: long non-coding RNA (CPAP_LNC012223)
Source: RNAcentral